GGCCGGCUGGCGCAAUGGUAGCGCGUCAGACUUCUAUGAAAUAGCGAUCUGAAGGUUGCGGGUUCGAGACCCGCGUUGGUCA
This 82-nucleotide transfer RNA is filed under the name Colletotrichum cereale. RNAcentral's name for it is "tRNA-Arg". It matches the Rfam family "tRNA". From Rfam's summary of the family: Transfer RNA (tRNA) molecules are approximately 80 nucleotides in length. Lineage: Eukaryota; Fungi; Ascomycota; Sordariomycetes; Glomerellales; Glomerellaceae. The record is from RNAcentral.